This 636-nucleotide unclassified non-coding RNA is filed under the name Dermacentor andersoni. Its description in RNAcentral is "probable ATP-dependent RNA helicase DDX43". Lineage: Eukaryota; Metazoa; Arthropoda; Arachnida; Ixodida; Ixodidae. The record is from RNAcentral.
UGGAGCCACGACCUCCGCUUGACUGGGCCAAGCUGCUUGCCAAGAGAGAUGAAGAGGAAAGGAUACGCCGGAAAGAUUUUCCUCAACCCGGGAGCAUUUUUGGCGCCGAGGAUACCGAAGUUGCACACGUGACUGCCGAGGAGGUGGGUGAAUUCAGGUCAGCCAACAACGACGCAGUUGUCAAAGAUCCGGGAGCGCAGGAACGUCCACGCACAGGCGUGACAACCAACCCCGUGGCAUCAUUCGACGAGGCACUUGCAAUGCAUCCAGAAAUCUUUGACGAAAUGUGUAGGAAGAAUUCCAAGGAACCGUCACCGACGCACAACCAAGCCUUGCGAAGUCUGCUUCAAGGUAACGACCUGUCUAGUGUCGCACAGACGGUUGCACGCAAGACUAUUGGUGACAUCUUACCUGCUGCCUUGGACCUAGCUGACAGCCACGCUCAUCAAAGAGAGGGAUGGCAAAGCCCAUCCUGUCUCGUCUUGGCCCCGACACGCGAACUAGCCCAGCAAAUAGAGAGAGAGACAAAGAAAUACCACUACCGAGGGGCAAAGUCCGUGUGCACUUACGGAGACAGCAGUUGGUUAGAGCAGGUCGACGCAGUUAAACAAGGAGUGUAGCGCGACUCCUGGCCGG